AUGGGGGGACCAUCCUCCAAGGCUAAAUACUCCUGACUGACCGAUAGUGAACCAGUACCGUGAGGGAAAGGCGAAAAGAACCCCGGCGAGGGGAGUGAAAAAGAACCUGAAACCGUGUACGUACAAGCAGUGGGAGCACAGAGCAAUCUGUGUGACUGCGUACCUUUUGUAUAAUGGGUCAGCGACUUAUAUUCUGUAGCAAGGUUAACCGAAUAGGGGAGCCGAAGGGAAACCGAGUCUUAACUGGGCGUUAAGUUGCAGGGUAUAGACCCGAAACCCGGUGAUCUAGCCAUGGGCAGGUUGAAGGUUGGGUAACACUAACUGGAGGACCGAACCGACUAAUGUUGAAAAAUUAGCGGAUGACUUGUGGCUGGGGGUGAAAGGCCAAUCAAACCGGGAGAUAGCUGGUUCUCCCCGAAAGCUAUUUAGGUAGCGCCUCGUGAAUUCAUCUCCGGGGGUAGAGCACUGUUUCGGCAAGGGGGUCAUCCCGACUUACCAACCCGAUGCAAACUGCGAAUACCGGAGAAUGUUAUCACGGGAGACACACGGCGGGUGCUAACGUCCGUCGUGAAGAGGGAAACAACCCAGACCGCCAGCUAAGGUCCCAAAGUCAUGGUUAAGUGGGAAACGAUGUGGGAAGGCCCAGACAGCCAGGAUGUUGGCUUAGAAGCAGCCAUCAUUUAAAGAAAGCGUAAUAGCUCACUGGUCGAGUCGGCCUGCGCGGAAGAUGUAACGGGGCUAAACCAUGCACCGAAGCUGCGGCAGCGACACUGUGUGUUGUUGGGUAGGGGAGCGUUCUGUAAGCCUGUGAAGGUGUGCUGUGAGGCAUGCUGGAGGUAUCAGAAGUGCGAAUGCUGACAUAAGUAACGAUAAAGCGGGUGAAAAGCCCGCUCGCCGGAAGACCAAGGGUUCCUGUCCAACGUUAAUCGGGGCAGGGUGAGUCGACCCCUAAGGCGAGGCCGAAAGGCGUAGUCGAUGGGAAACAGGUUAAUAUUCCUGUACUUGGUGUUACUGCGAAGGGGGGACGGAGAAGGCUAUGUUGGCCGGGCGACGGUUGUCCCGGUUUAAGCGUGUAGGCUGGUUUUCCAGGCAAAUCCGGAAAAUCAAGGCUGAGGCGUGAUGACGAGGCACUACGGUGCUGAAGCAACAAAUGCCCUGCUUCCAGGAAAAGCCUCUAAGCAUCAGGUAACAUCAAAUCGUACCCCAAACCGACACAGGUGGUCAGGUAGAGAAUACCAAGGCGCUUGAGAGAACUCGGGUGAAGGAACUAGGCAAAAUGGUGCCGUAACUUCGGGAGAAGGCACGCUGAUAUGUAGGUGAAGUCCCUCGCGGAUGGAGCUGAAAUCAGUCGAAGAUACCAGCUGGCUGCAACUGUUUAUUAAAAACACAGCACUGUGCAAACACGAAAGUGGACGUAUACGGUGUGACGCCUGCCCGGUGCCGGAAGGUUAAUUGAUGGGGUCAGCGCAAGCGAAGCUCUUGAUCGAAGCCCCGGUAAACGGCGGCCGUAACUAUAACGGUCCUAAGGUAGCGAAAUUCCUUGUCGGGUAAGUUCCGACCUGCACGAAUGGCGUAAUGAUGGCCAGGCUGUCUCCACCCGAGACUCAGUGAAAUUGAACUCGCUGUGAAGAUGCAGUGUACCCGCGGCAAGACGGAAAGACCCCGUGAACCUUUACUAUAGCUUGACACUGAACAUUGAGCCUUGAUGUGUAGGAUAGGUGGGAGGCUUUGAAGUGUGGACGCCAGUCUGCAUGGAGCCGACCUUGAAAUACCACCCUUUAAUGUUUGAUGUUCUAACGUGGACCCGUGAUCCGGGUUGCGGACAGUGUCUGGUGGGUAGUUUGACUGGGGCGGUCUCCUCCUAAAGAGUAACGGAGGAGCACGAAGGUUGGCUAAUCCUGGUCGGACAUCAGGAGGUUAGUGCAAUGGCAUAAGCCAGCUUGACUGCGAGCGUGACGGCGCGAGCAGGUGCGAAAGCAGGUCAUAGUGAUCCGGUGGUUCUGAAUGGAAGGGCCAUCGCUCAACGGAUAAAAGGUACUCCGGGGAUAACAGGCUGAUACCGCCCAAGAGUUCAUAUCGACGGCGGUGUUUGGCACCUCGAUGUCGGCUCAUCACAUCCUGGGGCUGAAGUAGGUCCCAAGGGUAUGGCUGUUCGCCAUUUAAAGUGGUACGCGAGCUGGGUUUAGAACGUCGUGAGACAGUUCGGUCCCUAUCUGCCGUGGGCGCUGGAGAACUGAGGGGGGCUGCUCCUAGUACGAGAGGACCGGAGUGGACGCAUCACUGGUGUUCGGGUUGUCAUGCCAAUGGCACUGCCCGGUAGCUAAAUGCGGAAGAGAUAAGUGCUGAAAGCAUCUAAGCACGAAACUUGCCCCGAGAUGAGUUCUCCCUGACCCUUUAAGGGUCCUGAAGGAACGUU
Molecule: ribosomal RNA, 2416 nt
Filed under: Escherichia coli
Lineage: Bacteria; Pseudomonadati; Pseudomonadota; Gammaproteobacteria; Enterobacterales; Enterobacteriaceae
Description: partial 23S ribosomal RNA
Rfam family: Bacterial large subunit ribosomal RNA
Source: RNAcentral